UAAUUUUAGAAUAAUUAAUAUUAAAAAUUAAAAUACAAAAAUUAUAAUUUACCAAAUUGUACAUGAAAAAAAUUAUAGUUGCACUAAUUAAAAAUUAAUUAAUACUUUAAAGUUUAAACCAAAAAAAGUUCAUAUACCACAUUACCCAAAUACAUUACUAUAACUCAAAUUCAACCAAAAUUAAACUCAUCAUCACCCUUUAAACUUUCAAGAUCUAAAGCUGUAAUCAAAUGAAUCACAUGAUUGAGCUCAUAAGUCUCAGACUCUCAUGAAUAAAUUUAAAAAAGUAGUAGGAGAAAAAACCCAACUUGAUCUUAAAGCCAGAAACAACGAAUCAAACUCACUCUAAUCCAUCUUUUCUUUCGAUCUAUCAUUCAUCUCUUCAUAACUAGUUAGGGUUGUUAAACCCACUUUUUUCAACUUCCAUAUAUAGCUGCAAGGCCUUCUUUUGCAUCAGUUUCAACAUAUUCAAAAACCCAUUAUUCCUAGAAGGAGUUAAACUCUGUUGCAACCCAAGAAGCACAACAAAAUCGGGCGAUGAAGCCAGUGAUUUGAGUGAAUUCUCUUUAGCAAUCUGGGCUUUUCGUGCGGAUUUGGACUGCUCGAGCUAAAUUUAAGGCCUUGAGUCUUCGAGCGGCUUUAGAUUGGGAAGGAGCAGGGGAAGGGCGGUGGCGACGAAGAGUGGAGAGUGAUGGUGAUUUUGAGGUUUGUUUGGAAGUAGUGAAGAAUUUCUGGGGAUUUAGAGAGAGAAAAUUGAGGUUUCUGGGGUUUUGUUUGGGGGUUUUGAAAUUUGAGAUGUCUUAGGAGUGAAGAAUGAGGAGGGUUUGGUAGUGGUGAAGAAUAUGGGUGAUGCUACUGUUUGUUUUUCUCUGUUGCUUCCAUUUUCACCUGUUUGGAUCUGUGAUCUUUACUGUAAAGAGUGAGAAAUUAGUUCUUGCAAGGUUUCUUGGAGCUUUGGAGGGAGAUCUUCAAUGGGUUUAAGGGAAAUAGAGGGUGAGGAGGAGGAAGAAUAAGAGUGACGAGUGGCGGGUAUUCUUUGGAUAGAAAUUGAUCUGAAAAAGGAGAAAUUUGAGGUGGGUAAUGGAGGAAUUGGGGAGAUAAUUAGGGUUCUGAGUAUUGGGGAAUUAAUGGGGUGGAAGAUAGAUUGGGGGAAUUUUUAGCUGAAAAUAGGUGGAAUGAAUUGGAAAUCACCAUUUUUAUUUUGUACACGUCAGCAAAUGUUGCCACAUGUCAACCGCAUCAUAAAUAAAUUAACAUCCGUUUGUCAAUGUGACAGAUUCGUUAAUGAGAGGGGCACGUGUGACCUGAUUUUUAUAACGUUAAAGGUACUUUUGGAAAAAUAUAUAUUUUAGAGUGUAAGGUGCUGUUUGUUUACAU
RNAcentral lists this long non-coding RNA (1377 nucleotides) under Panax ginseng (ginseng). Its description in RNAcentral is "long non-coding RNA (PGIN_LNC017027)". Lineage: Eukaryota; Viridiplantae; Streptophyta; Magnoliopsida; Apiales; Araliaceae. The record is from RNAcentral.